Molecule: non-coding RNA, 3797 nt
Organism: Aegilops tauschii subsp. strangulata
Lineage: Eukaryota; Viridiplantae; Streptophyta; Magnoliopsida; Poales; Poaceae
Source: RefSeq, a predicted model, not a curated record
UAUUCCCUUCCCACCAAACCCCGCAGCUGCCCUCCUUCGGUCCUCCAUCCUCUCGAGCCCCCCUCCGCACAGCCCCUCCCUGCUUCCUCCUCGUCACCGUAGCCGCCGCAUUCCUACCUUUCCUCCUUCUCGUCACCACAGCCGCUGGUCCCCUCGCUCCUCCUCCAUCAUCCCUUCCACUACCGCACGAACCUUCCGGGUCGGGGCGAGGCAGAAGGCCGUGGCGAAUCUGGCGCCUGCAGGCAGAAGCAGCAGGAGUGGGUGGAGCAGCGGAUGCAAACGGGGUCAUCGACGGAGCUGCAGGAGCAAGGAGCUCGAGUUGGCUCAUGGCUUGCCUUUGCAUACUCUUUCUCCCCCUUCCCUCACUCACGCCUCCCCUUUUUCUCAUGGGUGAGGGCUUCGGCUGCAGGUGCGCCACGAGGAGUGGAAGGCCGAAUCCAUGUGAUGACCAGAGCAGCAGGAGCAAGGAGCCUCCUCUCUCGCUCUCUCUCAGUGGUUGAGGACUUCCUCAAGAAGAAAGAUGAAGGCCAAAUAGAAGAAGAAUUUGGCUCAAAGGUCUUGCGGAGGUGCCUCUGACCGUCUCUACUUUCCUAUUAAUUUCUCCACCAUGCACAUUGGAAUUAGAUAAUAUAUGUUUUUUUAAACAUGGCGCGUACAGAUCUGAGGUUUUCUAUUUGUAGGUAGUGAUUCUAUAUAUUAUGAUGUAGUCUGAUAUUUUAAGAUAUUCACAAAAGGAGUGUUUAAUAUGUACACAUUUAUAUAACUAUGUAGUCAGGCAUAUUUCAUCUCUUUUCUUGAUCGAAUGAAGCACUGGUCUUGAUAACUUCAUCAGCUCCGUACAUUUGUUCGUGUAACUUCGGCUAGGCAAUGAAAACUUAAUGUGGCUGGAGUUCUACGCGCAUUAAAUCUGAUUAUCCUUAUAUUUCAAAUCCAAUGUCUUGGCCUUUAGAGGCUAUUUUGGCCUCACAGGGUGAAGGCAUGUUUGUGCAGGCAAUGAAAAUAGGGUACUCAUUUUUAUCUUGUAGAAUGUGGUUCAGGAAAAGAUAUAUGUGCCUUAUGUGCCUUAUAGAAGAUACAUUAUAUUAGCAUGUUAUGAUAAGAUAUGUUUAUAUGUAUAAUGUGGAUCCUUGAUAAGUAGACUAGCCUGAUCUCAUGGCAAUAACCAUGCUCUCUGUUAAUAUGGUCUCUUCUAAAGUAUAUUUAACAAAGCUUUCAGUUUGUGUUUAUACCACAUUCUCUUACAAAUUUACAUUACAGUAUGUCCUAGAAAAGGCACCAGAUCACUUUAUGCCUUGCAUACAUGUUUUGGUAGAAACAAUGCAUCGAAGUCUUCUACAAACUUUUUGGAUUUGACAGCCGUACCGUAUCAGGUCAAUAGUAGUGGUGAAACCGUAUCAGGUCAAUAGUAGCGGUGAAAAAUCAACGGGGUAUGGUGGCGGCUAGGGGGCAGAGUCGCCCAUGAGUCGCCGGAGUCAAACGAUAGACAAAGCAAAUAGGGUCGGUGAUAAUAGCAUGUUUUCUGGGCAACACAUUUUUUUUCUUCUACUUGUUGUUUAUUAGUAGGCAGCAAAUGGCUUUUAAAAGAAAAAGGUGGUGGACAGGUGGCGUUCAUGGCCACCUUGCAAUCCUACAUUCAGGACUUCGUGUUUAAAUUUGGUAGUUCUGCACUAUCAUUUUCAUUUCUUCUGUAAGUUUUUUACCUUGUGUACUAAUGCACGUUUUGUGCUUUUUUCAGAGUGCAUAAUGUCCCCUCAGGUUCGAAUUGCUCUGAAGUUAUCAGGGCAUUUCCUUGUAGGGCUUGUUCGCAUUUAUUCAUGGAAGGUGAACUACCUGUUUCAAGAUUGUAACCCACCUAAAAAUCCCUUCUGCCUUCCUGUUUUUGUUUGUGUAUGUCGCUCUGUAAAGAUUGGUUAGCCUGACCAUGAAAGGGUGCUUCAGAUUAGAAAAGCAUGGUUUUUCUUUGUGUAAUUUUCAGGACAAAGGAGGCUGUGGAGGAACUCAUAAAUGACGUGCUAAAUUAUUAAUUAGCCGUAUUCUUGAUUUUUCGUUUUUUAAAGAUAAUUGAGCAACAAGUCAUGUAGAGUUACUACCGUAUAGUAUAUUUCUAACUGCAUGAUCGAAACUGUACAUUCUGAAAGUAUAUUGGACUCUUGCCCUUGGGAAAUUAGGCUGUUAUAUCAUUACUUUGUAAAUAAAUCACAUGUUAACUUGCUGGUUCAGUUUAAAGCUGCAGGCAGAGGCUUGCGGUAGGGAAAAAUAAUAAUUGUGCCAGUUGAAAACCAAAGCGUUUAUUUGUGACUGUAUAAUCUGGACUGUGGUUUUAUGAAAGUAUGUUAGGCUCCUGCUCUUAGGAGAUUAAGAGUUGUUGUGGUUUGCUUGGUCCAGUGCCCCGAAGGGAGCUCACGUGCUAAAAAAACCAAUGUUUUUUUUAUGGUUAGUUCACGUGCUAAAAAAACCAAUCUCUGCGAAAAUAGCAUGCUCAUUUUAGUUAUAUUGAUUAAUAGCAUCUCUAUGUUAUUAGAUACUCCCUCCGUUCUUUUUCAACUGCUUAGAUCAUAUUUGAUUCCAAUGCUUGCUUUCAUAUCAUUGGUUUGUCCAAAGUUUAUGUUCAGAGAUUAUGCUUCAAAGAUAUGUUCAGAUAUCCUACAAAAAAAAGUAAGAUGAUCGCCCAAUUCUAGCUUCAUCUGCUUUACCUAUUUUUUUUAUUUUUUUAUUUAGAUCACCUGAGUUCUAGGCAGUGAGUACUAGAAAGCAUUAUCACAUUUCAGUGCAUUUUCAUACUUUGUGAAGCAUUUCAGUUUUAUGGAUAUGGGCAUUCAAUUGAGAACUGGGAACAAUUUUGUUUGACUUUUCAGAUGAUAAUUUUUAUCGGUUAUAGUUACAAUUACUAGAAGUAGCAAAGGCAUGGGUUAAUUUAGAGCUUGAGUUGGCAGCUAUGCUUUUUUGCAUUCCAGAUUAUGCAAAGAGAUUGCCAUGUUUUUUUUUUAUUUCGGUUUAGUUCAUUCCCUUAUAUAUCCAGUUGUUUUCUGCAGAAUUUUUUUUAAAUGUUCAUGUUGUAAUGGAUGGAUAUGUUGAUGGCAUCGUCAUGUCAUGUAAAUUACAUGCAGAACAAAUCUAUAUUUUUGUUGGGACUAAAAGUGAAAACUAUAUUUGGGACCCAAACUUUUCAAAUAGCUCUGAAUAUGAAUUGGGACCUUGCGCUGUUUGGGGUGGAGCUGUUGGGAGUGAGAGGCGGAUAACAAUAGGGCGAAGAAGCAUGCCAUCGAGGAGUGCAAGCAGCAGUGCUCCUUCGCAAUGGGGUGUGGCUAUAGGGGAGGGGAGGCGGCCAACGACGGGGAGAAGGAGCAGGUCGUCGAGGAGUGCAAGCAGCAGGAUUAAUUUAGGCCCAUACAGUUUCCGUGGACUGGAAGUCUGAAACUGAAGAUAGGGCAUAUUGUUUUGGUUCUGAGUGGUUGGAGAUAUUGCGGAUUGAUGUCCCUAGAGCAGUCGGACCCUUCCAAGAUAGGUGCUAAAAUCCUAGGUGUCAAGGGCAUUGUGGUGGCGCGAUCCAUGUCUACUGCAAUCGCUCGGCAUGGCGUCCAUGGCCCCUUUUGCUGCAUUUUUUGUUUUUCGGCAAAUAUGUUCUUGCUUGACCCCUGGUGAAUAUGUUCAUGAUUCAUAAUCAUUGUAUCUGAUUCAUAAGAAAUAGUGAGAUGCUUUGUUAUGAGUUACGAUAUAGGCUUUGUAAAAUUUGCAUGCAAUUUGUUGAUGGUUAGGCUUCGAGCUCCAUUUCAAUAAUUAGAGCUUUUUUCUGAUCC